GUCAGGGCGUGAGUUGGGAGGGUUGUCUAUGUUAGUUGUCUAUGAUUUUCUAUUUCUGUGUUUGGCCUGGUAUGGUUCUCAAUCAGAGGCAGCUGUCAAUUGUUGUCCCUGAUUGAGAACCAUAUUUAGGUAGCCUAUUUUCCAUUGUGUUUUGUGGGUGGUAAUUUUCUGUUUAGUGUCGUGUUGCACCUUACAGGACUGUUUGUUGGUUGUUUAUUGUUUUGUUUUCCGUGUUCAUUAAAGUAUGAACACCUAUCACGCUGCACCUUGGUCCUCCUCUCUAUCUCCAGACGUCAACUGUUACAACAUCAUCAUCAUGAGUAGGGACAACCCUGGCAAAAUAUUGGUCAACAACCAGUAUGUGAACUUGCUGUUUGAUGUAGAAGAUGGCCAACUGUCCAUCUUCCGCAGUGGGUAUUUCGGGGUGGUGAAGACCAAAUUUGGCCUGACACUGAAGUUCAACUGGAACAGCCAUGUCUCCCUAACCCUCCCCAGCUCCUACUCAGACCUCAUCGGAGGGCUCUGCGGAAACUGGAAUGGCCAACGGAACGACAAUCUCCUCAAACCAGACAGGAGCCCUGCUAACACCCCAACAGUAUUCGGGGACAGCUGGAAAGUGGGGAACGACCCUGGCUGCUCCAGCGACUGUGACGGCAAGAAGUGCCCCACCUGUGACCACAGCCUGAUGCUUGUUUACCAAACAGGGAAAUAUUGUGGCAGGAUCACAGACAAAAACGGUCCGUUCAAGUACUGCCACGCCAAGGUGGACCCCAGAGAGUACUAUGAGGACUGUGUGUUUGAUUUGUGUAUGUACCGUGGCCAUGCCUCUGCCCUCUGUAACGCCCUCAGCACCUACACCACUGCCUGCCAGGAUGCCCCUGCCAAGGUGGAACAGUGGAGGUCGGACAGCUUCUGUCGUUAGUGCACAGACACACAUCAGAUGUAUAUUUCAAAACAACUACUGUAACAAUUUUGAUCAUUACUAUAAGUCAGAAGUGAUUUGUCUAGCUAACAGCUUCUGGUUCCAACAUUAAAUUCUAUCAUGUUUGACCUAAUGUGUUGUAGCGUCUUCCUGUAAGACCAACAGCCACUAUGAGGUGUGUGCCUUAGGCUGCCCUCAGACCUGCAGCGGCCUCGAUGAGCCUGAGAGCUGUGGGAACUCCCUGUGCACUGAGGGAUGUGUCUGUUACAACGACUUCAUGCUGACUGACAGAGAGUGUGUGCUUCUGGCUGAAUGUGGCUGCGUUCACCAAGGCCAGUACUACCAGAUGGGCCAGGUGUUCUUCCCCAACGGCCAGUGCAAAGAGCGCUGUGUGUGUAACAAGGAUGGAGACGUGGAGUGUAAUGUAAAGUUUGCCUGCGGUCCCAGUGAGAAGUGCCAAGUCCAAGACUGGGUGCAGGCCUGUGUUCCCAUGAGCGCAGGCACCUGCCAUGUGAGCGGGGCCAGGAGAUUCCACUCGUUCGAUGGCAGCUGCUUGGGCCUACACGGGGACUGUGUGUACAAAAUGUUGGAGGUUGUGGAGAAAGACUCCAUUUGUUGUAUCAGCGCAGCGGUUGACCAAGAUGGAUGAAACAAUGGUCACAAGGAGGGUUGACAUACAGGCCUACAAAUACAAGAUAUCUAUGUCUCCCAGAGUAAACAGUAGUUUUAUGUCUUGUUUUGAUGUAUUCAUUUCAGUAUUAAAAAGCAACAUCUGAUUAGAAAAACUGCAGUUUUCAUUCUUUUCUCCUUUCACAGGUGGAUGACGUUGCAGCAAAUCUCCCACUGUCACUCGGAGAUGGAAAGGGCAGGGCCUACCAGAACGGCAUUAACAUCGUCGUGGUAACAGACUUUGGCUUGAUGGUGACCUACGACACCGUUGCUGGCGCCAUCAUACAGCUUCCAUCCACUUACAGAGGUGUUACCGGUGGUCUCUGUGGCAACUAUAAUGACAAGAAGGAGGAUGACUUCCUGCUGCCCAGUGGGCUGCAGGAGCCGUCUGUGGAGAAGUUUGCAGCGGGGUGGUUGGUGGUUCAGGAAGGGGUCAAAUGUCAGACAGGAUGUGACGGUGGCUUGAAGUGUCCUCCCACCAGUGGACCCCCACCGGCUUGUAGCGUCAUGAAGUCAACCAAGGGUCCAUUUGCCCAAUGCCAUGCUGUUGUGCCACCACAAGAGCACUUUGAGGAGUGCAUGAAGGAGGGAGAGGGUGGGGAUGCCCUGUGCCGCCACUUACAGACAUAUGUGACUUUCUGUCAGGUAUCCGGUGGCCUUGUCAGCAGCUGGAGAUCUGACCAGUUUUGUUGCGAGUGAAUUUUGAUAUUUAAAGUUAAUUUACCUUAUCCUGGUUUAUCUUAGUGUGCAAUAUUUUUCUGACCUAAUGCUCUGUUGAAAAACAAUUGAAGCUGAAGCUGAUUUAAUUUUUUGAUAACAUGCAUCUCCUCCCAUUUCCAUCUGUCCUCCAGCUCUGACGUGUCCAGCUAACAGUCACUAUGAGUUGUGUGCCGACACCUGUUCUUCCACCUGUUACUCUCUCAGCGAGUCUCCAAAAUGCCCACUAUGCCAGGAGGGCUGCCAGUGUGACGACGGCUUUGUGUUUGAUGGUGGCAAGUGUGUCCUACUGGAGAACUGUGGCUGUGUGGUUGAUCGACACUAUUACAAGUCUGGCCGGUCUGUGAUGCUGGGAAACUGUUCUGAGACCUGCAGCUGUGCAGCAGGAGUGUUGACCUGCAGGAACUCACAGUGCAAAGAGUUCAAGACAUGUGGGAUGAAGAAUGGAGUCAUGGACUCUGCUACAGAUAUUUUAAGAUCUCGAAAUCACAUGUCAGACCCCUGUGAGGGCACCGAGUGCCGUGAGAAAGAGUACUGUGUGGUGAUGAACAAUAUGGGGGUAUGUGUGGCCGAGUCCAAGGCCAACUGCUGGUUGUUCGGUGACCCUCACUACAGCACGUUCGAUGGCCAGCCCUUCUCCUUCAUGGGUACCUGCUCCUACAUUCUGGUGAAUACGACGGGCAAAGAUCCCUCCUUGCCUCAGUUCAGCAUCCAGACUAAGAACGAGCCACGAGUCAACUCCAAAGGCUCCUUCCUCAAGUCAGCCAACAUAGACCUGAGUGGUCACAGGAUCACCAUUCUCAGUGGCCAAAGAGGGACAGUGGAGAUUGAUUAGGACUGACCUCCCUGUGAGUUUGGAGUCUGGCAACACCCGAAUCACAGAGUCUGGUAUCCAAGGGACCAUCCAGACAGAUGUUGGCCUGAAGAUCACUUUUGACUGGACCGCCUUCUUCAUGGUGACCAUCAGCAGCAGUUACUACGACAACUUUGUUUCAUCUGUGACAUCUACAAUGGUAACAAAGCAGAUGACUUCACCACUCCCACAGGUGUGCUUUCGGCAAAUACCACGGCGUGGGUGGCAUCCUGGAGUGUUGCUGACGGUGAUCCAUUCUGCCGGCAUGUCUGUAAUGGCAACUGCCCCACGUGCUCAGAACCAGACCGGGCACUUUAUACUGGACCAAAGUACUGUGGUUUGAUGACAGAUGGAGGGGGCCCAUUUCACCAGUGUCAUAGGUGCUUCUACACCUGCAUUGCUUGCUGUUUGGGGUUUUAGGCUGGGUUUCUGUACAGCACUUUGAGAUAUCAGCUGAUGUACGAAGGGCUAUAUAAAUACAUUUGAUUUGAUUCAUAAGAAAGUUCCGGUGAAGGAGUUUGCCUCAAACUGCCUCUAUGAUGUGUGUCUGAAUGAGGGUCGACAGGAAGUGUUGUGUGAGACCUUGGCUAACUACGUGGCCAAAUGUCAUCAGGUUGGGGCUGUAGUCUCACGGCUGUGGAGAAAGGCCUCCAACUGCCCUUACUACUCAGCUAUAACAAAACAUCACAUUUAUGAACUCAGACAUUCUGAAAUGUGUAAAAUGAAUUUGCAGAAUGUAUUAGGACUACAUUUGAUGUUUUUUUUUUCUCAACUCGAACAGCCCUGGCUUGCCCAUACCACAGCCACUAUGAGCUAUGUGGCACUGCCUGCCCUGCUACCUGUGCCAUUCCCAAUGUCCUCGAGAUCUGUUCCAAAGUCUGUGUGGAGGGCUGCCAGUGCAACAAGGGUUACGUAACUCAGUGGUGAACAAUGUGUCAUCAAGGAAUCAGGGUGUGGUUGAAUGAAAAACUCAACAAAUAUGGAAAACCUGUACAUACCAAGUUUGGAGGCAAGAGCAUUUUACUUUUCAAAUAAACUCUCAUGGCUCCAAAAUAUCAUUUAAAAACAUUCAUUUCAUGUCCAGGUUGUAGGCUAGAGCAUUUCGACAUAAAAUCGUACCUUAAAAUGACCUUCUGUAUGUGAUAACAUAUUCUGAACUAUAUAAUGUUGUGAGGGAUUAUGAGUAUUCAUGCAUGGAAUGGCUAUUGAACUCUGUAUUCAUUAUAAUCCCAGAAUUGUGUAUUACUAAAACUCAGAUCAUCUCUGUAUGUGUGUAUAUCUCUGUCUAGCCUUUACAACUUUCAAAAGUUUUGAUUUAAUCAGAUAACUCAACCUCUCAAGUAAUUAAUUCAAACAAAACUGUUGAGUGUUUUAAUCUUGAAGUAUAUGCCAUAUUACAGGGGGCAAAAAAGUAUUUAGUCAGCCACAAGUUCUCCCACUUAAAGAUGAGAGAGGCCUGUAAUUUUCAUCAUAGGUACACUUCAACUACGACAGACAAAAUGAGAAGAAAAAAAAUCCAGAAAAUCACAUUGUAGGAUUUUUAAUGAAUUUAUUUGCAAAUUAUGGUGGAAAAUAAGUAUUUGGUCACCUACAAACAAGCAAGAUAUCUGUGUCUCACAGACCUGUAACUUCUUCUUUAAGAGGCUCCUCUGUCCUCCACUCGUUACCUGUAUUAAUGGCACCUGUUUGAACUUGUUAUCAGUAUAAAAGACACCUGUCCACAACCUCAAACAGUCACACUCCACUCCACUAUUGGAUUGCAAAUCCAAUCAGUUUUUCACGUUGAUUCAAUGUCAUAACAUAGAUUUUGGGGGGGUUGAAAUGACAUGGAACAAUGUUGAUUCAAUCAGUUUUUGCCCAGUGGGUGUUAUUGCAAAAUGGUAUCGUGGUAUUGUUGUGACUUUUUUUUCUCUCUAAAAAGCAGAAGUAUGUGACAGUAAUUUCAGCGAAAUAGAUGUUUUAUGAUGACAUCACUACUUCUCCACAACCACCCAGUCUUCAAUAAGAAGAUUUUGCCCGGCCACUGCUGGUCAGAUAACACACAGCUGUUGGUACUACGUUCUUGGAUCAAAGAUUGUAUUGAUGAUAUAUUUUCUGGAAUACAACUCUCUUUCCUACAGGGCUAAAGCCACUAUGCACUGUCAAUACAUUCUACAGUUAUCUCUGUUAACUCUACUCUCCCUGCCAGCUACCCAGCUACCCAGAAAGUUGGAAGAAAGAUAUGGUUCACUCCGAGAGGCAAUACAAAACUAGACGGCUUACAGCAAGGAGAUG
Oncorhynchus nerka (sockeye salmon) is the source of this 5435-nucleotide RNA transcript. It is a transcript of the gene named B-cell receptor CD22-like, with no coding region annotated. The record is from RefSeq and is a predicted model, not a curated record. NCBI's taxonomy places the organism in Eukaryota, Metazoa, Chordata, Actinopteri, Salmoniformes, Salmonidae. The transcript has 6 exons.